ACACUCCCGCGAACCUCAUCCUUACAGCGGGAUUACCAGUCCAGGCUAAAUCCCCUGUAAUAUAAACUCAUAGAGUAUUGUCAGGAUUACCAGUCCAGGCUAAAUCCCCUGCAACGACAAUUACUCUAAUGAGCUUGGAUCUGAAUUACCAGUCCAGGCUAAAUUCAGACCCUAAUUUGGAUUACUCGUCUGGGCUAAAUCCAUUUACACGUAUUCUUCGAGAGGGCUAUAUCAGGAUAGGAUCACUCGUCCGGGCUAGAUCCUUUUUACCGUCAAUUCAUUUUCAGAGAUCCAUCGAAUUUUCUUUUUAUUCAACCGAGAUUUCUUCCCCUUUUAUCAAAUAUGUUAAUGUUUCAUCAAUUUUCAUACAAUGAAGAUUCAAAUCAUAUUCAUAUCAAAAACAUACAUUUUAAGCAUUUAAGAAUAUAAUUCAAGUUAUACGAACUUACCUAGCGAAAUUGCAGAAAUAUCAAGAUUUAGGGACAUUUUGGUAAUUUACUAUUUUCUCAAUUUUCACCCGAUCAUAAAUUGAAAAUUUCACUCAAUUUAUUAAUUUAGAUAAUAAAACAAUUCGUUCCUUCAAUUUGAUCAUUUUUGACAUUUUUACAAAAUUGCCCCCUGAAGUUUUACUUUUAUUCAAUUUAGUCCUUAAGCCUAAAACAUGCAAAUUAGCCAUGCUAGCUGAAUAUUCAUAUAUAUUUUCCUCCUCCUCUCCAUUCCACAUCCUUAAUGUAUAUAACACACUUGUAAGUAACAUUAUCUAUAAUUUUUAUUAUUUACUUUUAUGAAUAUUCAAGUUGUCCAUCUGUGUCAUAGUCACUAAAUUAUUUAUAUAUGGAGCUCUAGAACUCUAAAUUAAGAUCUGCUAAUUUUUCCUGAAACUAGACUCAUAUAUAUUCUUACCAUAAAAUUUUCAGAAUUUUUGGUUUAUUCAAUAAAUACAGUUUAUUCUUUAAAGUUACUCAUGUUCUGCUGUCUAACAGUUGUGACCCUUCUUCACUAAAAAUUAAUUAUCUCCUCGUACAGAAUUCUAAUGAUGUUCCUGUUUAUUUCUAUUAAAAAUAGACUCAUUCAAGAUUCUAAACAUAUAAAUUUAAGCCCAUAAUUAUUUUUAUAUAAUUUUGAUAAUUUUUCGAAGUCAGAAUAGGGGAAACCGAAAUUAUUCUGAUCUUAUCUCACAAAAUUUAUUAUAUCUCAUGAUUUAUAAUUUCAUUGUUUACACCGUUUCUUUUAUAAGAAACUAGACUCAAUAAUAUUUAAUUUCAUAUUUUAUUCAUCCUAUAAUUCUAUUUCUACAAUUUUUGGUGAAUUUUCAAAGUUAGACUACUGCUGCUGUUCAAAACUGUUUUAGUGUAAAAUGUUAAUUUUCAUUUUGUCUCAAAUUUCACAGUCAUACAAUUCAGUCCUUAUUUCAGUUCUAACUUGAAAAUUCUAUCAAUUUAAUCCCUAAUUCAAUCAUUUCAUUCAAGAUAAACAGUAUCUAGAAAUCUAAUAACUUUCAAAAUAUCAACUUGACUUUAUCAAAACGUUAUUCCAAAACUUCUAAAACAUCAAAAUUAAAAAAAAUGACUUAAUUGACUUACCUAUUAAACUUCCAAGCUUCACACCUUGAAUUUUCCCUUUUCUUCUUUCUUUUCUCUUUUUCUUUCUUUCCUUCCCCUGCUCUCUGUUUCGUUUGCUUUUUCUUCAUUUUCUAUUCUUUUUCUUUCUUUAUUUCCU
This 1719-nucleotide long non-coding RNA is filed under the name Gossypium barbadense (sea-island cotton). RNAcentral describes it as "long non-coding RNA (GBAR_LNC012823)". The record is from RNAcentral. Lineage: Eukaryota; Viridiplantae; Streptophyta; Magnoliopsida; Malvales; Malvaceae.